Molecule: ribosomal RNA, 915 nt
Filed under: uncultured bacterium
Lineage: Bacteria
Description: bacterial SSU rRNA
Rfam family: Bacterial small subunit ribosomal RNA
Source: RNAcentral
AGAGUUUGAUCAUGGCUCAGAUUGAACGCUGGCGGAAUGCUUUACACAUGCAAGUCGAACGGCAGCACGGACUUCGGUCUGGUGGCGAGUGGCRAACGGGWGAGUAACAUAUCGGAACGUAUCCAAUAAUGGGGGAUAACUAAUCGAAAGGUUGGCUAAUACCGCAUACGCCCUACGGGGGAAAGCUAGGGACCUUCGGGCCUGGCGUUAAUGGAGCGGCCGAUAUCUGAUUAGCUAGUUGGUGGGGUAAAGGCCCACCAAGGCGACGAUCAGUAGCUGGUCUGAGAGGACGACCAGCCACACUGGAACUGAGACACGGUCCAGACUCCUACGGGAGGCAGCAGUGGGGAAUUUUGGACAAUGGGCGCAAGCCUGAUCCAGCCAUUCCGCGUGAGUGAAGAAGGCCUUCGGGUUGUAAAGCUCUUUCGCAAGGGAAGAAAACUUAGCCACUAACAUUGGCUGAGGUUGACGGUACCUUGAUAAGAAGCACCGGCUAACUACGUGCCAGCAGCCGCGGUAAUACGUAGGGUGCGAGCGUUAAUCGGAAUUACUGGGCGUAAAGCGUGCGCAGGCGGCCUUGAAAGUCAGAUGUGAAAUCCCCGAGCUCAACUUGGGAACUGCGUUUGAAACUCCAAGGCUAGAAUAUGUCAGAGGGGGGUAGAAUUCCACGUGUAGCAGUGAAAUGCGUAGAGAUGUGGAGGAAUACCAAUGGCGAAGGCAGCCCCCUGGGAUAAUAUUGACGCUCAUGCACGAAAGCGUGGGGAGCAAACASGAUUAGAUACCCUGGUAGUCCACGCCCUAAACGAUGUCUACUAGUUGUUGGUGGAGUAAAAUCCAUGAGUAAUGCAGCUAACGCGUGAAGUAGACCGCCUGGGGAGUACGGUCGCAAGAUUAAAACUCAAAGGAAUUGAACGG